This 71-nucleotide transfer RNA is filed under the name Calappa bilineata. RNAcentral describes it as "tRNA-Val". The record is from RNAcentral. Lineage: Eukaryota; Metazoa; Arthropoda; Malacostraca; Decapoda; Calappidae.
CAAGGUAUAGCUAAAUUUAAGUAUUUCACUUACGUUGAAAUGAUUUAUCGUUCAUAAUCGAUUUGCCUUGA